RNAcentral lists this ribosomal RNA (465 nucleotides) under uncultured bacterium. Its description in RNAcentral is "partial 16S ribosomal RNA". It matches the Rfam family "Bacterial small subunit ribosomal RNA", at positions 28 to 507 of the family's 1533-position model. The record is from RNAcentral.
GAUAAACGCUGACAGAAUGCUUAACACAUGCAAGUCGAUGAUGGGAGCUAGCUUGCUAGAAGAAGUCAUAGCGGACGGGUGAGUAACGUGUAAAGAACUUACCAUAUAGACUGGGAUAACAGAGGGAAACUUCUGAUAAUACUGGAUAAGUUAGUAGUAGCAUUACUAAGUAAUGAAAGGUAGCAAUACGCUAUAUGAGAGCUUUGCAUCCUAUUAGCUAGUUGGUGGGGUAAAAGCCUACCAAGGCGAUGAUAGGUAGCCGGCCUGAGAGGGUGGACAGCCACAAGGGGACUGAGAUACGGCCCUGACUACUACGGGAGGCAGCAGUGGGGAAUAUUGGACAAUGGAGGCAACUCUGAUCCAGCAAUUCUGUGUGUGUGAAGAAGGUUUUAGGACUGUAAAACACUUUUAGUAGGGAAGAAAGAAAUGACGGUACCUACAGAAGAAGCGACGGCUAAAUACGUG